Small nuclear RNA from Etheostoma spectabile (orangethroat darter), 117 nucleotides. RefSeq annotates it as U5 spliceosomal RNA. The transcript has a single exon. NCBI's taxonomy places the organism in Eukaryota, Metazoa, Chordata, Actinopteri, Perciformes, Percidae. The record is from RefSeq and is a predicted model, not a curated record.
UCACUCUGGUUUCUCUUCAUAACGCACAAGUCUUUCACCUUUUACUAAAGACUUCCUUGGAGGGGAACGCUGGUGAGUAUGAACCCUUUUUGGUGGGCUGGCUGUUUGUCCAAGCCU